RNAcentral lists this ribosomal RNA (253 nucleotides) under uncultured bacterium. RNAcentral's name for it is "partial 16S ribosomal RNA". It matches the Rfam family "Bacterial small subunit ribosomal RNA", at positions 524 to 776 of the family's 1533-position model. The record is from RNAcentral.
UACGAAGGUCCCAAGCGUUAUCCGGAUUUAUUGGGUUUAAAGGGUGCGUAGGUGGGUUGGUAAGUCAGUGGUGAAAUCUCCAGGCUUAACUUGGAAACUGCCAUUGAUACUAUCAAUCUUGAAUACCGUGGAGGUCAGCGGAAUAUGUCAUGUAGCGGUGAAAUGCUUAGAUAUGACAUAGAACACCAAUUGCGAAGGCAGCUGGCUACACGAAUAUUGACACUGAUGCGCGAAAGCGUGGGGAUCAAACAGG